This 89-nucleotide ribosomal RNA is filed under the name Gigaspora rosea. RNAcentral describes it as "partial 18S ribosomal RNA". The record is from RNAcentral. Lineage: Eukaryota; Fungi; Glomeromycota; Glomeromycetes; Diversisporales; Gigasporaceae.
UAGUGAGACCUCGGAUCGAUAAGUGGAAACCUUCACGGGUAUCCUAYUUGUUGAGAAGUUGGUCAAACUUGGUCAUUUAGAGGAAGUAA